Molecule: non-coding RNA, 79 nt
Organism: Dentipellis sp. KUC8613
Lineage: Eukaryota; Fungi; Basidiomycota; Agaricomycetes; Russulales; Hericiaceae
Source: the annotation of a GenBank genome assembly
UCCCGUUUAGCUCAGCUGGUAGAGCGCGUCACUAGUAUUGCAAAUGACGAGGUCAGUCGUUCAAGUCGGCUAAUGGGAA